This 406-nucleotide long non-coding RNA is filed under the name Vulpes vulpes (red fox). Its description in RNAcentral is "lncRNA (ENSVVUG00000001144.1)". The record is from RNAcentral. Lineage: Eukaryota; Metazoa; Chordata; Mammalia; Carnivora; Canidae.
AUGCUCAGAGGAUGGUUGUGCAGCAGGGCCGUGGGCCCUUGCUACACUCCCCAUGUCCCUGGGACGUUGCUCUGGAAGUUCCUCACUUGCCUGCUUCCUUCUUCCUUCCCCUUCUGCCCAGCAUCAUCUUCCUCCUUCCUGGCUCGACUCUUCUUUGGUGGGCAGGUGACCUCAGGCCUCACUGGGUGCAAAUGCACAAAGCCAGUUCUGGCUGUUGAAGAGCAGGAGUCAAUGACAGAGCCUGUGUGGCCUCAGCCUCUUUACUGCUGCGCUCUGACCAUGGGCCCUCCCGGACGGCGUGGCAAGGCUGGAAGAAGAGGCGACCCUGGUGAGUCCUUGGUUUUCUUGAUUUCCAAACCCAGGCCUGCAAGUCCGCCCUUGGCCUGAUACCCAGCCGCAGGUGCCA